AGGCCCCGGAACUCAUCAUCGAGC
RNAcentral lists this non-coding RNA (24 nucleotides) under Arabidopsis thaliana (thale cress). The record is from RNAcentral. Lineage: Eukaryota; Viridiplantae; Streptophyta; Magnoliopsida; Brassicales; Brassicaceae.